Anolis carolinensis (green anole) is the source of this 2312-nucleotide long non-coding RNA. RefSeq lists it as uncharacterized. The record is from RefSeq and is a predicted model, not a curated record. The transcript is spliced from 2 exons. Lineage: Eukaryota; Metazoa; Chordata; Lepidosauria; Squamata; Anolidae.
CAGGAACCAGCUGGCUCUCCAUCAGGACCAGCUGCUAAUGGUAAUAGAAGUAUAAAGUUUGCACAUCUUGUAACCCAUCCCUACUAUGGUACACCUGCUGAAUCCAAGGUAUUUCUAGGUGUAUUUACUUUCCAUUUAGCAAUUGAUUCAAUAGGUCUAUUCCACUUUGUUGUUGUGUGCCUUUUAUUUAUUUCGUGUCAAAAGCAUUGCAUAACAAAUACAUUUUUAAAAAUGAUGAAAAAAAAUAGAGGAAAUCACAAAACAACUAAUAGUUUUAGACCAAAAGCGGGCAACAGCAACUGCAUUGUCCGUAGCUUUAAGCAACUCCUCCUCUGUACAUGAGGUAGGACAUUGUGGACAAACAUACAUAUGCGGAGUUGUUUGUUCUGCUCCACAGUCACACAAGGUGGAGGAUUCCUCCAGGUAGUGCCACCUCGCCAAGUUGUCUUUAGAUCUGCCCACUCCACUUCUGAGUCUGUUCAGGGACUUCCAAGUUGCCCAUUCUUGGUUUGCCCCGGGAAGAAGACCCUCGUGGGGGCCAUCCAGUUGGAAUUGCCAGGUUUAGCUGCCCAGAGGGACACCCUUGCUGCUGCUGGAGGAACAUCAAGAGGAGUGGUGGUUCUCAUGAAGCCCUUCUUUGAUUUGAGUCUGGUGGGAGGAGGCUGCUGUGCCUUAAAGUAGCUUACGACUAUGGUAACCCUAAGAUGAACCUAUCACAGGACUUUCUGGAGUGGUUCUCAACCUGGGGUCUCCAGAUGUUUUUGGCCUUCAGCUCCCAGAAAUCCUAAUAGCUGGUAAACUGGCUGGUAUUUCUGGGAGUUGUAGGCCAAAAACAGCUGGGGACCCCAGGUUGAGAACCACUGGCUUACUGGGACUGAGAGUGUGUGACUCACCAAGGUCACCAAGUGGGUUUCAAUGUCUGAGUGGGAAAUCAAAUCUUGGUCCCCAGAAUUUUAGUCUUAUACUCAAAUUGCUACACAAUGCUGGAUGUUCUAUCACUGACUAGAAAAUCUUAAGGAUAUGAAUCCUGCUUUCAAGCACUUUUAUUUCCCCUGCAAUGAAUCAGGAUUACAAAAUGCAGUGUGUGCUGUUUUGAAUGGAAAUCUUACAACUCUGCCUAAUUUUGCUUCCAUCAACAAAAAGCAAGGAUUGCAUACUAACCUGAAUAUGUGUUUUCCUUAAAAGACUUCUUAAACACAGUGCAAGUGUUUUGAUAUGGUUUGAGUAGCAUGUUCUGGUUUUUUAUUGUUUCCAACAACUACUUAUGGAACAUUUGUUAUGAUUGAGCCUCAUGGCUCUGCUUCUGGCAGACGUGGACGUAAGACUCCUCGAGAGUCAGAUACUCUCGAGGAGCGAGAAAGAAAAAGGCUGCGAGAUAUCUUUGCAGAACCAUCUGACGAAGAAUCUUUUAAGGGGUUCACGGAGAGAAUGGAGAAAGAGCUGGUUAGCUCGGAAGAGGAUGAGAUGGAUUGGACUCGGGUAAGGGAGGAGUUGGGUGCCACUGGCAAUAAUGGGAUGGAAGAUGAAUGGGGACCUUCAGGAUUAGACCCAUGGACAAGCUGGAGGGAUGGGACGGGAUCCACAGCUGGGGAUGCUGUGGGGCGUAGUCAGAGGUGUUCCAGCUCUGAUGAGGAAAGUGAUGAGGAAACGCCCGGGUUAAGGAGGGCAGCUGAUAGUGAUGAGGAUUUGUAACUGGCAUAAAAUGAGGCUUGGGAGCAAUUGCAAAUUGCGUUGGGCAAGGUAAUCUGGACGAACGCUUGGGAUCUGUGUGGGACGCUUUCCUGAAGACUGGUGUGUUUUCGUGUGCUGAUACCUUUGACCUUCCGUCGUCUUCUUGACGGACGCCAUCUGCUACUCUGGAUUUACGGACUGAAAACUGACUACGGGCUCGCUUUCUCCUAUUGGACUUGGAAAACUGCAAACGUCUGAUUCUGCCUCUCGACCUACGGAACGAACUGGGACUACGCUACUGCUUCAAUCCUUGGCUGCUGAGUUUGUAUUGGAAAUUUGCCUUGCUGUGUGAAGGAGUGACUCCUAGUUACUCAAAACAUAGUGCUGGCAGCAGAGAGGCAUCUGCUGCCAAUUAGUUGCAUUCUUUUGAACUCUUUGUUUCCCAGCUUCUGUUUGUUUUUCCCCAGGCUGAAGCAAGCUGUUUUGAUUUUACCCGGAUUAAACUCCGGUUUAAUCCGGUUUAUCUUUUGAACGUUUUUCUUGCCCCUUUUUGUUUUUAAAGGCUAAAGUUGCCUUGCCCUUGUCUUUUACGGGCAUUUUGAGUUCUGUAAAUCCAAUAAACUCUGUUAUCUUUGAUCUUG